UACGUAGGGUGCAAGCGUUAAUCGGAAUUACUGGGCGUAAAGCGUGCGCAGGCGGUUUUGUAAGUCUGUCGUGAAAGCCCCGGGCUCAACCUGGGAAUUGCGAUGGAGACUGCAAGGCUUGAAUCUGGCAGAGGGGGGUAGAAUUCCACGUGUAGCAAUGAAAUGCGUAGAGAUGUGGAGGAACACCGAUGGCGAAGGCAGCCCCCUGGGUCAAGAUUGACGCUCAUGCACGAAAGCGUGGGGAGCAAACAGG
RNAcentral lists this ribosomal RNA (253 nucleotides) under uncultured bacterium. RNAcentral describes it as "partial 16S ribosomal RNA". It matches the Rfam family "Bacterial small subunit ribosomal RNA", at positions 524 to 776 of the family's 1533-position model. The record is from RNAcentral.